RNAcentral lists this ribosomal RNA (376 nucleotides) under uncultured bacterium. Its description in RNAcentral is "bacterial SSU rRNA". It matches the Rfam family "Bacterial small subunit ribosomal RNA", at positions 28 to 410 of the family's 1533-position model. The record is from RNAcentral.
GACGAACGCUGGCGGCGUGCCUAAUACAUGCAAGUCGUGCGAGACCUUCGGGUCUAGCGGCGGACGGGUGAGUAACACGUGGGUAACCUGCCUGAUCGACUGGGAUAACGCUUGGAAACGAGUGCUAAUACCGGAUAAUCUCCUGCACCGCAUGGUGCGGAAGUAAAAGGAGCUUUUGCUUCACGAUCAGAUGGACCCGCGGCGCAUUAGCUAGUUGGUGAGGUAACGGCUCACCAAGGCGACGAUGCGUAGCCGACCUGAGAGGGUGACCGGCCACACUGGGACUGAGACACGGCCCAGACUCCUACGGGAGGCAGCAGUAGGGAAUCUUCCGCAAUGGGCGCAAGCCUGACGGAGCAACGCCGCGUGAGUGAUG